This 57-nucleotide ribosomal RNA is filed under the name Fusarium graminearum. Its description in RNAcentral is "partial 28S ribosomal RNA". The record is from RNAcentral. Lineage: Eukaryota; Fungi; Ascomycota; Sordariomycetes; Hypocreales; Nectriaceae.
UUGACCUCGGAUCAGGUAGGAAUACCCGCUGAACUUAAGCAUAUCAAAAGGCGGAGG